This 503-nucleotide ribosomal RNA is filed under the name uncultured Actinomycetes bacterium. RNAcentral's name for it is "bacterial SSU rRNA". It matches the Rfam family "Bacterial small subunit ribosomal RNA", at positions 88 to 604 of the family's 1533-position model. Lineage: Bacteria; Bacillati; Actinomycetota; Actinomycetes. The record is from RNAcentral.
UGGAUUAGCGGCGAACGGGUGAGGAACACGUGAAGAAUCUGCCCUCCACUUUGGGAUAACACCGGGAAACCGGUGCUAAUACCGAAUAUUGAAACAUAAGUGGCAUCACUGAGUUUUGAAAGAAUUUCGGUGGAGGAUGACUUCGCGGCCUAUCAGCUAGUUGGUGAGGUAAUGGCUCACCAAGGCAACGACGGGUAGCUGGCCUGAGAGGGCGACCGGCCACACUGGGACUGAGACACGGCCCAGACUCCUACGGGAGGCAGCAGUGGGGAAUAUUGGGCAAUGGAGGAAACUCUGACCCAGCGACGCCGCGUGCGGGAUGAAGGCCUUCGGGUUGUAAACCGCUUUCAGUAGGGAAGAAGCGAAAGUGACGGUACCUACAAAAGAAGCACCGGCUAACUAUGUGCCAGCAGCCGCGGUAAUACAUAGGGUGCAAGCGUUGUCCGGAAUUAUUGGGCGUAAAGAGCUCGUAGGUCGUUUGUUACGUCGGAUGUGAAAACCUG